This 501-nucleotide ribosomal RNA is filed under the name uncultured bacterium. Its description in RNAcentral is "partial 16S ribosomal RNA". It matches the Rfam family "Bacterial small subunit ribosomal RNA", at positions 29 to 523 of the family's 1533-position model. The record is from RNAcentral.
AUUGAACGCUGGCGGCAUGCCUUACACAUGCAAGUCGAACGGCAGCACGGGUGCUUGCACCUGGUGGCGAGUGGCGAACGGGUGAGUAAUACAUCGGAACGUACCUUAUCGUGGGGGAUAACGCAGCGAAAGCUGUGCUAAUACCGCAUACGCCCUGAGGGGGAAAGCGGGGGAUCGCAAGACCUCGCGCGAUUAGAGCGGCCGAUGCCUGAUUAGCUUGUUGGUGGGGUAAAAGCCCACCAAGGCGACGAUCAGUAGCGGGUCUGAGAGGACGAUCGGCCCCACUGGGACUGAGACACCGCCCAGACUCCUGCGGGAGGCAGCAGUGGGGAAUUUUGGACAAUGGGGGCAACCCUGAUCCAGCAAUGCCGCGUGAGUGAAGAAGGCCUUCGGGUUGUAAAGCUCUUUUGUCAGGGAAGAAACACCGGCUCUAACACAGUCCGGGAAUGACGGUACCUGAAGAAUAAGCACCGGCUAACUACGUGCCAGCAGCCGCCGUAA